RNAcentral lists this ribosomal RNA (1047 nucleotides) under Triticum aestivum (bread wheat). Its description in RNAcentral is "partial small subunit ribosomal RNA". The record is from RNAcentral. Lineage: Eukaryota; Viridiplantae; Streptophyta; Magnoliopsida; Poales; Poaceae.
AUGGCGUUCGCAAUGGCGAGGCGUCUGGGAGUCGUGCUGGCUUUAGCGGCUGUCGUCCUUCUCGCCGCCGCGGGGGCCGCCACCGCUCAAUCCAAGCCACGGCCACCCAAUGCCAAUGGCCCGAAGCCGAAGCCGAAUCCGAUAAGCGUCAAGUGCAGUGAGAGUCCCAGGGUGAACCCCUACUGCUCUAACCAGAGGAUGGACUGCCCCGCCAACUGCCCCCAGUCCUGCUACGCCGACUGCAAAUCAUGCAAACCCGUCUGCGUGUGCAACACCCCGGGGGCGUGCGGCGACCCGCGGUUCAUAGGCGGUGACGGCAACGCCUUCUACUUCCACGGACGCAGGGACGCCGACUUCUGCGUCGUCUCCGACCGUGACCUUCACAUCAACGCACACUUCAUCGGCAAGAGCGGCCACAGCGGCAUGUCCCGGGACUUCACCUGGAUCCAGGCCAUCGCCGUGCUCUUCGACGGCCACCGCCUCUACCUCGGCGCCAGGAAGACCGGCACCUGGGACGACGCUGUCGAGCAUCUAGAGAUCAUCCUGGACGGCGAGCCCGUGUACCUCCCCGCCGACCUGGUCGAAGGCGCCAAGUGGACCUCCAGCCGCGUCCCCGAGCUGUCUGUGACCCGCACCAAGGGGGCCAAUGGCGUGCUCGUCGCCCUCCACGGAAAGUUCAGCGUCAGGGCCAACGCCGUGCCCAUCACCGAGGAGGAUUCGAGGGUGCACCGUUACGGCGUCACCGCCGACGACUGCCUCGCGCACCUCGAGCUGGCGUUCAAGUUCGACGCGCUCACCGACGACGUCCACGGUGUGAUCGGACAGACGUACCGCUCCGACUACGUCAACCAUUUCGACGUGAGGGCCUCCAUGCCCACCAUGGGAGGAGAUGCCACCUUCACCACCUCCAGCCUGUUCGCCGCCGACUGCAGCGUGGCGCGCUAUGGAGUCAGCCGUGGAAACGACGGUGCCGCGGUGCUAUCUGAGCUCUCUGCUGUCACCUGUGCCAGUGGCAUGGACGGCAAGGGUGUCGUGUGCAAGAAGUAA